UUGGUGGGGUGAUGGCCUACCAAGGCGACGACGGGUAGCCGGCCUGAGAGGGCGACCGGCCACACUGGGACUGAGACACGGCCCAGACUCCUACGGGAGGCAGCAGUGGGGAAUAUUGCACAAUGGGCGGAGGCCUGAUGCAGCGACGCCGCGUGAGGGAUGACGGCCUUCGGGUUGUAAACCUCUUUCGACAGGGACGAAGCGCAAGUGACGGUACCUGGAGAAGAAGCGCCGGCCAACUACGUGCCAGCAGCCGCGGUAAGACGUAGGGCGCGAGCGUUGUCCGGAUUUAUUGGGCGUAAAGAGCUCGUAGGCGGCUUGUUGCGUCGACUGUGAAAACCCGCAGCUUAACUGCGGGCCUGCAGUUGAUACGGGCAGGCUAGAGUUCGGUAGGGGAGACUGGAAUUCCUGGUGUAGCGGUGAAAUGCGCAGAUAUCAGGAGGAACACCGGUGGCGAAGGCGGGUCUCUGGGCCGAUACUGACGCUGAGGAGCGAAAGCGUGGGGAGCGAACAGGAUUAGAUACCCUGGUAGUCCACGCUGUAAACGUUGGGCGCUAGGUGUGGGGGGCCUCUCCGGUUCUCUGUGCCGCAGCUAACGCAUUAAGCGCCCCGCCUGGGGAGUACGG
This 626-nucleotide ribosomal RNA is filed under the name uncultured bacterium. RNAcentral describes it as "bacterial SSU rRNA". It matches the Rfam family "Bacterial small subunit ribosomal RNA", at positions 249 to 885 of the family's 1533-position model. The record is from RNAcentral.